Molecule: long non-coding RNA, 2806 nt
Organism: Columba livia (rock pigeon)
Lineage: Eukaryota; Metazoa; Chordata; Aves; Columbiformes; Columbidae
Exons: 3
Source: RefSeq, a predicted model, not a curated record
GAGCCUCUGGACCCCACACAGGUAGAGAGUACCAGAUCACUUAGAGGACUCAGCCCCGAAGGCUUUGAGUUUUUGAUAUUCAUGCUGACUUACACUGGCCAUGCUGGGGAAGGAAGGAAGGAAGGAAGGAAGGAAGGAAGGAAGGAAGGAAGGAAGGAAGGAAGGCUAAGGGCUUCAGCACAUCAUGGUGCUGGAAGAAAGAAUUGUCUGUUUUUAGUUCCCACCAAAGGCAAUAAUGCUGCAGAAAGGUUAUAAAGCUGCCCUCCUCUUGCAGAAGUUGAAGUGACAGCCAUUCAAUCCAGCUCAGUCAAGUGGUCUCAGGUCCCAUUUCUAGAGAAACAGACAAUGAUAAAUUGAACAAUGCAGGUGGGCUGGUGAGAGAACAAUGGAAGGAACAACCCACAAUGGGGAAGAGAGGUCCUGCAGCUGUAUCUGCUUUGUCUCCUUUCUUGGUAAGUCCCACUUGAGGCAGGACAUGACUUAACACUCAGGAGAGGUUGUAAAGGCUCAGCAUUAUUUUCCAGAAAUAUUUUUAAACUCCCCCCGCCCGUUUUUUUUUUUUUUUCCAGUUGUUGCCAGCCUCAAGUUCUCAGUGAUCUGUUGAUAUAUCAGGAAAAUAAGCAAAGUAUUUGCACUCAUGUCAAUCUAAAUGAAAACCAUCUCUCUGGAUUUUUUUUUUUUUUUUUAGCUUUUUGCAAGUAUUAUUUUAUCGUUUUGUUUCUCUUUUAAUCCUCCUUUGUUUCAUUUGGCAGCCGCGACAAUAGUUUCUAGCCUCUGGCAAGGAAAAUGGAUGAGCAAAUAUUCUCUGUCUUGGAAGUUAAAUGCAUCGCCCCAGUGACAGGCCUCUCCUGCUUUCCAGCUACCAUGAAUCCUGAGCCUACUCUUAAAUUGCAUCUUAGAUACUUCAUGUACAGAUUGUUGCGAGCAUCUCUUCUGACAUCCUUCAUGACAUAUAACAAAGAAUUGAACCUGAAAUGCCACCACUCUAUCAAUGUUUCAAAGGACCCCUUGGUGAGGAAUAAUGCCUCUCCUCCAAGAAACUGAUUCUAGGUUGAGGUCACAUUCCCCCUUGGGUGAGUUUGCAGUGACUGAGUUGUAACAUGGAAUACAACUUCAAGGCAGAAAUAAUGGUGGAACUGGGGAAAAGGUUUACGUGACAAUGCAGUCAGAACUCUGCUCAGUCUUGUGAUUUUGUGUUAAUUUUCCUCGUUGCUGGGGUGUUUCUUGUCAUUGUUGUCGUUGUUUUUGUUUGUUUGUUUGUUUGUUUGUUUAAUUUGGUUGUGGUUUUGGUUUUGUUCUGUUUUGUUUUUUUCCUUCUAAAAUACUUUGCGAUUCUCUGUGUUCUAAAACUGGUAUAAUCAUGACUUUUCAGGAUUUUCUUCACUGCUUUUUCUAUUUCUUAAUGACCAAAACCAGUAGGUACAUCGGUACAUGUGAACAAUAACUAACUUGUAUGAUUUUUUCUUGGUUUUUCUUGAGUUUGUUGCAGCUGUAUCAUAGAAGUUUCAUAGCUACUGUAUAGACCUCAACGAAAACAUAAAUUCUUCUACAGUGUUUUAGCAUGUCCUCAGCCCCCACCCUAAUUAACACUGAAUAUUAUAGAAUCCAAUAGCUUUUUUUGAAUAAACAAUCUGCAAGAAAACUGAAUUGCAGUAGUAUCUUAGAAAUUUAGUAUAGAUGCUUUGCAGUGGACUCAGUACAAAUGUUUCAUUUUAAACACUUUUGGCUUUCCCCACACUCUUAAUAGUCUGGCCUCAAAUACCACCUCAAAAUGACAUUUCUGGCUCAGAAAAUCUGAAAACCAUGGAUUGCUGGAGGCUGAGAAAGCGUCAUUGUAUGCUUGACCUAUUUUACUCCUUAUACAGGCAUCUGUUGCUGGCCAUUGUUGGAGAUGAACUGUGGUUGUUCUUCUGGUCUCCAUUUCUCUGAUAAUUUAUAUAUGUGCAUAUGCAUUCUUUAAGGGUACCCACAUAUUAGCUUUCUUCAGCUUUUCCGAGUAAGUUUUCAAACCCUUAUCAUUCAGGCUAAACACAGCAGCUAUAUUACUAUGGUAAAUGGUUGCAUGAUGAUAUUUUCCCUUUUUCUGGUGCUACAAAGGCAGUGUUCAUUAAAUACAGGAAUAUUCUGUUUAUAUUUUAUGUUUGGGAAAUCAAACUAGCCUCAAAUAUGCUCAAAUUCUCUUCAUGUUUCUGUCACAGAAAAUAGCUGUCAUUUGUUUGUAUAUAUAUUUCCAGUGAACAGAAAUGUUUUUUGGGAAAAGAACAACAUAAAAGCUAGAAGGAAGUUGUAGAUGAUGUUAAUUUAUAUUAAUGGAGGGUAGUAUUAACCAUCAGGCUCGUUAGAGUCAACCUGAAUUAAAACACAUGCUAUGGACUUAAAAUGAGUAGUACUUAUUACCGUGCUUUUACUGUCCUUCAAAGUCUAUGAUUUUGUCCAGCCCCAAUUACUUACCCAUGGAUGCAUAUAUGAGUGCAAUGAUACCCUUAGAUCCAAGGCUUGAGGGCACUUCUACAUGUUGGCUAUUGAGACAAUUUUCAUGAAAUUCAAGUAAUCAAAUGGCAGACUUUGAUAAGAUUCAGAUGAAGAAAGGCUUCUGGGUUUUUUUUUGUCUGUUUGUUUGUAUCAAUUUUUCCAGCAGCAGUAGACCCAUCUGGUCCCCUUCAAUGUUCUUGUAUUACAGCCAGCAGAACCCUGGAACAAAUUUAGUAUAAGUUAAAUUGAUUUAUAAUUGAAUAAAAUAAAUAAUCUAUUUUCUUGUUUCUGUUUUACUUGAUUGGAGAUAUCCAAGACAUCAAAAUAUGAACAC